RNAcentral lists this long non-coding RNA (400 nucleotides) under Rattus norvegicus (Norway rat). RNAcentral describes it as "long non-coding RNA NONRATT012293". The record is from RNAcentral. Lineage: Eukaryota; Metazoa; Chordata; Mammalia; Rodentia; Muridae.
CAGCCAUUGGUCUCUUCAGCCAUCUGGGUUGUCCCAGCUUUUUAAAGGCGCCGCGAAACGGAACAGAAAACGAGAGUCGAGAGGCGAGGGUUGUGAGCCCCGGUCCAGCCCCUCCAUCUCCCUGCCCUCCUGAUGAGGCCAUGGGCUCUGGCAGUGACUAAGUGGCCGCCCUCUGCCCCCGUGGGUCACUGUCGAGUCUCUACGAGACCUAGCAGCAGCCCAGGCCAGCUCUGGGGAAGCUGCUGCCCCGACCGCCACACCUCUCUGUAGAGGAGCACCGAGCUUCAGAAGCUCCUGCCGGCAGGAGCCCCCGAAUGCUGCACCCAGCCACCCAGCAGAGCCCGUUCAUGGUUGAUCUCCACGACCAGGUGCACCAGGGACCUGUCCCUCUGUCCUACAC